AGGACGAACGCUGGCGGCACGCUUAACACAUGCAAGUCGAACGAGAUCCAUCCACUCGCAAGAGUGGUGAAGAUCUAGUGGCGAACGGGUGAGUAACACGUGAGAAACCUGCCCCGAAGACCGGGAUAACUCACCGAAAGGUGAGCUAAUACCGGAUACCCUCACGACGCUUCAUGGCGAUGUGAGGAAAUGGAUUCCGCUUCGGGAGGGUCUCGCGGCCUAUCAGCUUGUUGGUGAGGUAACGGCUCACCAAGGCGACGACGGGUAGCUGUUCUGAGAGGAAGAUCAGCCACACUGGGACUGAGACACGGCCCAGACUCCUACGGGAGGCAGCAGUGGGAAUCUUGCGCAAUGGGCGAAAGCCUGACGCAGCGAUGCCGCGUGCGGGAAGACGGCCUUCGGUUGUAAACCGCUUUCAGCGAGGCGAAAUUGACGUACUGCAGAAGAGCGUCCGCCAACGUACGUGACCAGCAGCCGGACGUAA
RNAcentral lists this ribosomal RNA (484 nucleotides) under uncultured soil bacterium. Its description in RNAcentral is "bacterial SSU rRNA". It matches the Rfam family "Bacterial small subunit ribosomal RNA", at positions 26 to 523 of the family's 1533-position model. The record is from RNAcentral.